Daucus carota subsp. sativus is the source of this 3270-nucleotide long non-coding RNA. RefSeq lists it as uncharacterized. The transcript has 5 exons. NCBI's taxonomy places the organism in Eukaryota, Viridiplantae, Streptophyta, Magnoliopsida, Apiales, Apiaceae. The record is from RefSeq and is a predicted model, not a curated record.
GGACCCUCGCCCCGACUCCACCCGAUCCCCUAGAAAUUACCCAUUUCUCAUCUCGCUCCCGAAAAAUUCUCGGAAUCUCCUGUCUACUGGGAUCGGAUCUGUAAUUGCCCGUUCCUAGCUAUGGAACUCUAUUCCAUAUAAAAUUUUAAUAAUUUAUACUACUACAAAAUCAUAACGAGCCGACAUGAGUCGUGGGUUAGUUCAAUAGUUUCUGAGGCGCAAAUACGGCUAACCAACAGUCCAAUUUCUCGAGUCCGAUGAUAAAGAUUUUGGUGUUUUGUGCUUUCUUGGAGGAAAAGUGUACCGAAACGAGGAACGAAGACAAUGGUGGCCGGCGCGGCUAAUAGUGAAUUUACGGGACAUGAUCAUACAGAACAUGGCCGGCUUCUGUGCACCAGCUCUCAAGUCAGACAAAUCUCGUGCACAUGUAAAAUUAUAUAGCAACUCUGAUCAUCAAAUUGAUGGUUUCUAUCCUCCUAUUACAUGAUUAAGGGAAUUGGUUAAAAAGAUAGGGCUUCUAACGUGUUUUUGAAAUUGAGGAUGUUUUUUGGCUUGAUGUCUGACGAAAUAGCCAAUGCAGUUCUGGAGUUCGAUGAAAAGGAUCCGUUUACUUUGUUCUAACUCGGAAAAAGAGUGUUCCAGAGAAUUCCUGAGAACGAGAUGCAAAUACAGUGGUGGUUGGUUAAUAGUGAAUUUAGGGAAGAUGAUCUUGAUUUGAUAUCGAGAAUGGCAGACUUGUUUCGACCAAUAAAUGCUUCUAAUUCGGAUUACAGUUAUUGUGUGCAUAUAAAUCCUUAUUUUUCAAACUCUGAUGACCAAAUUGUUGGUUCAGAUUCGCCUGUUAUAUCAUACAUGUAAUUAGUUUGUUUUUUGUAAAAAAUCUUGUAAGUUUUUGCUAAGGUAUAACUUUGUGUAUUUAACUGUAUGAUUACUGAUAUGUAUUCUGAGAUUUCUCUUGUUGCAGAUUCCAGAUUGAGAGACUUGGUUAAUAGGAUCAGGGGCUUUUCUGCAUUCCGAGAAUCAUUAGGCCAUCGUUACUGAAUUUGAGAAAAUCGGUCCCCAUAUAUGUUCUUCUAUCUUUCCCGUUAUUACUUCUGUGAUCCGUUCGUGGGGGUAACAUCAUAUGAAAUCAAGCAAAGGACCUGGCCUUUGAUUGAAAAACUUCUAACAAAGCCCUGUUCCCUUUCUAGACUGUUGAAUCUCCCAUUUUAACUUAAACAGAUAGCUAGAAGCUCACCUUAUGAAGAAAUUUUAUAAUCAAAUCGCCUGUUACAUGAUUAAGAGAAUUGGUUAAAAAGAUAGGGCUUCUAACGUGUUUUUGAAAUUGAGGAUGUUUUUUGGCUUGAUGUCUGAUGAAAUAGCCAAUGCAGUUCUGGAGUUCGAUGAAAAGGAUCCGUUUACUUUGUUCUAACUCGGAAAAAGAGUGUUCCAGAGAAUUCCUGAGAACGAGAUGCAAAGACAGUGGUGGUUGGUUAAUAGUGAAUUUAGGGAAGAUGAUCUUGAUUUGAUAUCGAGAAUGGCAGACUUGUUUCGACCAAUAAAUGCUUCUAAUCCGGAUUACAGUUAUUGUGUGCAUAUAAAUCCUUAUUUUUCAAACUCUGAUGACCAAAUUGUUGGUUCAGAUUCGCCUGUUAUAUCAUACAUGUAAUUAGUUUGUUUUUUGUAAAAAAUCUUGUAAGUUUUUGCUAAGGUAUAACUUUGUGUAUUUAACUGUAUGAUUACUGAUAUGUAUUCUGAGAUUUCUCUUGUUGCAGAUUCCAGAUUGAGAGACUUGGUUAAUAGGAUCAGGGGCUUUUCUGCAUUCCGAGAAUCAUUAGGCCAUCGUUACUGAAUUUGAGAAAAUCGGUCCCCAUAUAUGUUCUUCUAUCUUUCCCGUUAUUACUUCUGUGAUCCGUUCGUGGGGGUAACAUCAUAUGAAAUCAAGCAAAGGACCUGGCCUUUGAUUGAAAAACUUCUAACAAAGCCCUGUUCCCUUUCUAGACUGUUGAAUCUCCCAUUUUAACUUAAACAGAUAGCUAGAAACUCACCUUAUGAAGACAUUUUAUCAUCAAAUCGCCCCCCCCACCCCCCACCCCCCAAGUCAUAGUGCAUUAUAAGUGUACUGGAGUAUUUUACUAAUCAAGUUAUUUGCGUGAUAUUCCAGUUCAACUCGUUAAUAUUCAAUUUUAAAAAAUAUACACUUGUGCUUGAGUUCAAACCAUUCAGAUAUAAAAGGAGAGCUGCAGUUUGAUCUCAGAAGCAAAACGAUUUCUUUUUUUUCCACAUCAUAGAAGUCAUGGUGUGUGUUCAAAACUAAUUAGUAUGUAAUUUUAUAUUUGAACGAGUCAAGGACAACUUGAACUUAACAUAUUUGAGUUCAUGUUAUGGACUGGGGCAGACCAUAAAGAACUGGCCAAAGCUUUGCAGUAUCAUGAUGAUGACAUGAUCUUGAUCUGAUGCUGAACAUGACCGGCUUGUUCGCACCAGCUCUCAAGUUAGAGAAAUCUCGCGCGCAUGUAAAAUUUUAUAUUUCAAACUCUGAUCGUCAAAUUGAUGGUUUGGAUUAUCCUGUUACAUAUUCAGGAUUAAGGGAUUUGGUUAAAAGGAUGAGGGAUUCUCCUGCAUUCUGGGAAUCACGGAUGUUUUUCGGCUUUAUGUCUAACCUUAUUGCCAAUGCAGUUGUGGAGUCUGAUGAAAAGGAUCCGUUUACUAUAAUCUAUCUUGGAAGAAGAGUGUUCAAGGAAACUCCUGAGAACGAGAUGCAAAGACAGUGGUGGUUGGCUAAUAGUGAAUUUAGGGAAGAUGAUCUUGAUUUGAUUGUGAGGAUGGCAGACUUGUUUUACCCGUUGGAUACUUUUAAAUUGGAUGACGGUUACCGUGUGCAUACACACCUUUAUUUUGCAAACUCUGAUGAUUAAAUUGCCGGUGCAGAUUCGCCUGUUACAUAUUCUGGAUUGAGAGACUUGGUUAAAAGGAUCAGGGGCUCUGCUGCAUUCCGAGAAUCAAUAGGCCAUCGUUACUGAAUUUGAGAGAAUUGGUUGAAAUAUAUGUUCAUGUGGAUUUUAUAAUAUAUACUAUGAUCUGUCUCGAAGGAUUCAGAAGUAAAUAGUAAUAUCUCUGUGGAUACUGCUUUUUCGUGUUUUAGGCUCUUGGAAUUUGUUUAAAGUCAUGAAUGGUUUUUUUAGAUUAAUCAAUGAAGCUAAAACGGGAAAAAUUCUUGCAGAAACCCCAUUUACAUGCUUAGGCAGGAAAAAAAAACAACUUACUACUUCAGGGCUACUGCAUAAACUG